AUUGGUGAGGAUCAGGUAAUCUGCAUCCUGAGGUUUGGAUCAGCAUGUACGUUUGUUGUAUCUAGUCCUCAGGAUACGGAUUACCUUAUCCUUACUGACAAUAUAAAA
Molecule: microRNA precursor, 108 nt
Filed under: Citrus sinensis (sweet orange)
Lineage: Eukaryota; Viridiplantae; Streptophyta; Magnoliopsida; Sapindales; Rutaceae
Description: miR2111 stem-loop (csi-MIR2111)
Source: miRBase by way of RNAcentral